CCCUUAGAUGUCCUGGGCCGCACGCGCGCUACACUGAUGCAUGCAACGAGUUUAUAACCUUGGCCUGAAAGGUCUGGGUAAUCUUUUGAACGUGCAUCGUGAUAGGGAUAGAUUAUUGCAAUUGUUAAUCUUGAACGAGGAAUUCCUAGUAAACGCGAGUCAUCAGCUCGCAUUGAUUACGUCCCUGCCCUUUGUACACACCGCCCGUCGCUACUACCGAUUGAACGGUUUAGUGAGGGCCUCGGAUUGGUCUCGGCCCGCUCUUUACCGGGCGGCGCCGUUGGUCGAGAAGACGCUCGAACUUGAUCGUUUAGAGGAAGUAAAAGUCGUAACA
Molecule: ribosomal RNA, 334 nt
Filed under: uncultured eukaryote
Lineage: Eukaryota
Description: partial 18S ribosomal RNA
Rfam family: Eukaryotic small subunit ribosomal RNA
Source: RNAcentral